UCCGAGGCUGCAGAAGCGUUGAACGCGAAGCGCCUCGAGACCCACGCAGGAUUCCGGUUUUCCCCGGACGUUACGCUCAGCUCAACCGACCUCCUCCGCUUCCACGCGGGACGCGAACGCUUCGCGUUUUCAGAUCAAGUCGGAAAGUGCAGCCACCCGAGCUACGCCGCCGGCCCCAGACCCAGGUUGGGAGGGACCCCCGCGGCGGCGGCCGGGUCGGGCGAGGCUCCCGGCACGCGGAGGCCCUGCUGCGCCAACGCGCGCCCGGGGAGGCGCAGGGACGGCGGGGCGGUUGGGCGCGGACGCCACGUUGACCCCUCCACCCCCAGCGCCUCCUCCUCGCAGUCCCCGGGACGCAGGGCACCAGGGCGGCGACGAAAAGGCCCCGCAGCAGCGACUCCACUUCUCCCUCCGGGAAAUCCUUGUAAAGAGCACGCAAGACAUCUUGAUGACGCAAAGCCUGAGUGGUAGCAUGAGUCAUGGGGGGCGAGAGGUGGAGGCAAAGAGGAGAAUUUAAGCAAAGUGCAUGAGCCACCACGCCCGGAUGGAGGGCUGUCCUCAUUUUCAGAGCAUUGGUUUGCCUGCCAUGCUCUGGAGAGAACAAAGCAAGGGGGCUGGAGCAAGGAAAUCAGUAAGAAGAAUCUGGAAUGAAUAGCCUGAGGUGCAGAAAGGCGACCCAGGAUGUUGGAUUGCACUAUGAUCACAAAUGAUUGUUUAAAGGAGAAAACAAAAAGAAAAUCUGGAAAAUCUGGAACAAAGUAGAAAAAAUAAUGCAGGCAUCCUUGCCAAUGCCGUCACAGACAGUGCUGGCCCCACAGAGAGAAUGCAGCUACCCAAGAGAACACAGAUAGAGGUGCUCAAGUUAGACAAAGCUGCAUCAUCACUCAGUCCUUUGUAUCAGCAACUAAAGCAAUCAUCCAGAAAUUUGCAAAGCAAAUUGGAGAGAAGCCAAGACUUCGAUAGAAAUCCACUGAUGGGGAUUUCCUCCAUAAAGACUUUUUCUUCAGAAGGUGCAUAAACUGCAGCACAGACCUGUGUGUGAUGAGCAUUAACAGCCCUGAAAUAAAGUGUGCGACCUCACAGGCACUCUGAACACUGUGGACCACCCAGGAGGAGGAGUCCGGGAAGAAUACAGACUUCUCUCAGCCACAAUGCUGAGGUUUAGUAUUAGUUCUUUAGUGAGGAAGAAGAAGAAAUUGAAGGCAAAGCACCCUGAAAUCUUUAAAGACUACAUUACAGUAUGGAUUUAUUCUUUUUUAAAAAUCCUCAUGGUUUCUAUAAAGUCAUAGUGAAGUCAGUCUGGUGCUCAACAUUGGAGACACAGUGACCCAGACCCGGACGGACGCUGCCCUCAUGGAGUUUACAAUCCAGAAGGAGAGACUGACAUAUUAAGUAAUCACACAAAUGUCAUUGUAAGCUUUGAUAAGUGUGUAGAAGAAGGGGUCAGUGACGAUAAUGUCAAGGACUUUUGGAUUCAGGGGUCAGAGACAGUUUGUUUGAGAGAGCAACAGUAAUGCCGUGCCCUGAAGAAUCAGGGGGUACUAGCCGGGGGAAGAGCUGCAGCAGACAAUACCAGGAACAGCACAUUGAGGCUUGGGGAUGGGAACUGUGGGGUGUGGUUCUGGAACUGGGAGGGGCCUGUACUUGGAGCAUCCUCAACGGGAUGGAGAACUGGGUGGUGGGAACACUGUGGGAUAUGAGGGAAGGGCUGGACCCCCAGGGAUUGUGUGGGCAAUUUUAGCAUCUUCAUUGUUUUCCAGACACAGGGCAAGUCACAGAAGGGAUUUAGGCACACAAGUGACAUAUUUUAGUUUAUAUUUUUAAUGAACCAUCCCAAUUGCAGUGUGGGUCUAGAAGGGAAAAGAGAUGUCUAUCAGGGAGCUUUCAGCCUGGUCAUCAGAGUCAAGGAUAUGGUGAACACAACUAAAUACAGAGACCUUUUUGCUUAUACUAGAUCCUGAAAAGAUCAUGUCUGUCUUAGUGGGGGGACUCCCCUUUCUACAAAAUGGCACCAAAACCACAGAAGAGAUCACUGAAGUAAAGUUCCUCAAUCAAUGAAACAUUUUCUGGAUUAAAUUUUGUUUAAUCAAAAAGUAUCAAGAAUGCCAUUUAGCCAUUAUGAAGUUUAUGAAAAGAAUGAGUGGGUUUGACUCAUGGAAAUAAGUAGCUGGGAAUGUGAUGUUGAAUGCUGAGGGACCCCCUGAAUUCAGGACAGUUGAGCAGUAGAUAGAUGAGUUAGGCAGAUAGCAAAUCACUGCAGCAACACUACUGAAAGUAAUAUUGACGGCUUUGACUUCCACUGGUGAGCAAUGCUCCAAAUAUGUCACCGCUGACUUCAGCUUUCCCCAAUUGUAGUCAGCCCUGUUGCCUUCGGAGGCAGCGCAGGAUCUGGCCCUAUCAAAAGACAAGGCAGAGGUAGGGUUGCAACCUUCUUGGGUCCCCAGCACUGUUGCCUUUGUGGGUCCCUUCCUCUGUAAACACAAUAUUGUGGAUACUAAAUAGGUCUGCUAAAACACAAA
Long non-coding RNA from Saimiri boliviensis boliviensis (Bolivian squirrel monkey), 2519 nucleotides. RefSeq lists it as uncharacterized. The record is from RefSeq and is a predicted model, not a curated record. Lineage: Eukaryota; Metazoa; Chordata; Mammalia; Primates; Cebidae.